Molecule: ribosomal RNA, 260 nt
Filed under: uncultured archaeon
Lineage: Archaea
Description: partial 16S ribosomal RNA
Rfam family: Archaeal small subunit ribosomal RNA
Source: RNAcentral
CAGCCCUAAACGAUGCGCGUUAGGUGUAUCGGUGACCACGAGUCACCGAGGUGCCGAAGGGAAACCGUGAAACGUGCCGCCUGGGAAGUACGGUCGCAAGGCUGAAACUUAAAGGAUUGGCGGGGGAGCACCACAACGGGUGGAGCCUGCGGUUUAAUUGGACUCAACGCCGGGAAGCUUACCUGAUAAGACAGCGGAAUGAUUGCCGGGCUGAAGACCCUGCAUGACCAGCUGAGAGGAGGUGCAUGGCGUAGUCGUGU